CCUACGGGAGGCAGCAGUGAGGAAUAUUGGACAAUGGCCGAGAGGCUGAUCCAGCCAUGCCGCGUGCGGGAAGACGGCCCUAUGGGUUGUAAACCGCUUUUGUUGGAGAGCAAUAAGAGUCACGUGUGACUUGAUGAGAGUAUCCAGCGAAUAAGCAUCGGCUAACUCCGUGCCAGCAGCCGCGGUAAU
This 189-nucleotide ribosomal RNA is filed under the name uncultured bacterium. RNAcentral's name for it is "partial 16S ribosomal RNA". It matches the Rfam family "Bacterial small subunit ribosomal RNA", at positions 338 to 524 of the family's 1533-position model. The record is from RNAcentral.